Molecule: ribosomal RNA, 349 nt
Filed under: Haemopis caeca
Lineage: Eukaryota; Metazoa; Annelida; Clitellata; Hirudinida; Haemopidae
Description: partial 12S ribosomal RNA
Source: RNAcentral
CCUUUUUAUAUAAAAAUUGGAGAAUACGAGCUAUGGCUUAAAAACUAAAGAAUAUGGCGGUAUUUUAUUCAAUCAGGGUGGCAUGUAACUUAAUUUGAUAGCCCACGAUUUUAAAACUUGAUUUUGAAUAACAGUAUGUGUACUGCCGUAAAAUGUAAUUUUAAUAGAUUAUAUAAUUUAUAUAUAUAUAUAUAUAUAUAUAUAUAUAUAUAUUCAGGUCUAAGUGCAACUAAUAAUCAUGUGUUUAUGUGCUACAUUUAUGUAUUCAUUCAUUAAUAUUUUUAAAUAAUAAAAAGAAGAACUUGAUAGUAAUUAAAUUAAUUUGAUUUAAUGAAUUUGAAAUUGAAGU